RNAcentral lists this ribosomal RNA (468 nucleotides) under uncultured bacterium. Its description in RNAcentral is "partial 16S ribosomal RNA". It matches the Rfam family "Bacterial small subunit ribosomal RNA", at positions 28 to 507 of the family's 1533-position model. The record is from RNAcentral.
GACGAACGCUGGCGGCGUGCUUAACACAUGCAAGUCGAACGGAAAGGCCCUGCUUUUGUGGGGUGCUCGAGGGGCGAACGGGUGAGUAACACGUGAGUAACCUGCCCUUGACUUUGGGAUAACUUCAGGAAACUGGGGCUAAUACCGGAUAGGAGCUGCUGCUGCAUGGAGGGGGUUGGAAAGUUUCGGCGGGUGGGGAUGGACGCGCGGCUUAUCAGCUUGUUGGUGGGGGAGGGGAUUACCAAGGGUUUGACGGGUAGCCGGCCGGAGAGGGUGACCGGCCACAUUGGGCCUGCGAUACGGCCCAGACUCCUACGUGAGGCAGCAGUGGGGAAUAUUGCACAAUGGGCGGAAGCCUGUUGCAGAAACGCCGCGUGCGGGAUGACGGCCUUCGGGUUGUAAACCGCUUUCGCCUGUGACGAAGCGUGAGUGACGGUACUGGGUAAAGAAGCACCGGCUAACUACGUG